GACGAACGCUGGCGGCGUGCCUAACACAUGCAAGUCGAACGGAGGAUAUCCGACGGAAGCAUUUAUGUGGAAGAUGGAUAUUUCUUAGUGGCGGACGGGUGAGUAACGCGUGAGCAACCUGGCCUUUGGAGGGGGAUAACAACGGGAAACCGUUGCUAAUACCGCAUAACACACAAAGGGGACAUCCCCAUUGUGGAAAAGGAGCAAUCCACCGAAGGAUGGGCUCGCGUCCCAUUAGGUAGAUGGUGAGGUAACGGCCCACCAUGCCUGCGAUGGGUAGCCGGACUGAGAGGUUGGCCGGCCACACUGGAACUGAGACACGGUCCAGACUCCUACGGGAGGCAGCAGUGGGGAAUAUUGGGCAAUGGGGGAAACCCUGACCCAGCAACGCCGCGUGAAGGAAGAAGGUUUUCGGAUUGUAAACUUCUGUCCUUGGGGAAGAAGAAAGUGACGGUACCCAAGGAGGAAGCCCCGGCUAACUACGUGCCAGCCGCCGCGGUAA
This 502-nucleotide ribosomal RNA is filed under the name uncultured bacterium. Its description in RNAcentral is "partial 16S ribosomal RNA". It matches the Rfam family "Bacterial small subunit ribosomal RNA", at positions 28 to 523 of the family's 1533-position model. The record is from RNAcentral.